Molecule: ribosomal RNA, 305 nt
Filed under: uncultured bacterium
Lineage: Bacteria
Description: bacterial SSU rRNA
Rfam family: Bacterial small subunit ribosomal RNA
Source: RNAcentral
UAUACCUACGGGGCGCAGCAGUAGGGAAUUUUCGUCAAUGGGCGCAAGCCUGAACGAGCAAUGCCGCGUGAACGAGGAAGGUCUUCGGAUCGUAAAGUUCUGUUGAAGGGGAAAAAGAGCGGAGAGAGGAAAUGAACUCCGAUUGAUAUUACCCUUCGAGGAAGUCACGGCUAACUACGUGCCAGCAGCCGCGGUAAUACGUAGGUGGCGAGCGUUAUCCGGAAUGAUUGGGCGUAAAGGGUGCGUAGGCGGCCCGCUAAGUCUGGAGUGAAUGGUACCGGCUCAACCGGUAAAGGGUAUGGAAA